AUAACAGGUUCCUUCAUCACGGUGGUCAGUGUGAAUAUUAUUCCUAAUAAAGACGCAAAACCUGAAAUAUUAGGGAAGGUCAUUAUUGGAUCAUAUCGACUCCAGCACUUAACUGGAACUCGAUUUUAUCUAUUCUGAAAGGAAGAAAGACAAAACUGAUCUGGUUUGGAUUUGAACUUCGAAAAUGAAGAGACUGGCGACUAUAAUCUAUCGUGACAUCUUCGUCAUUGGAUCUCUAUUAAGAUGUAAGUAUUAUUGACAGAGACAACAUCUACGUUGUAUAAAUUCUGUCAUCUUCCUUCUACAUCUGUUUGUUUGGAGGUGUUCAAAAAUAAAGGAAAGGAAAACGAUGUUUGUCUUAAUCCCCAAACAGGUCGACUGUCGCAUUUGUAAUAGAAGUGAGUUGAAAAACUUGCUUUAGCCGACCUUGCCUCAAUACUUUCCCUCUUUUCCUUUCCACUCUGCAUUUCAAUUAUCGUUAUCCCCCCCCCCCAUAUCUUAAUACUAACGCAAAGAGAAAGUUCCUAUUUCUUAUUGUUUAGUCACCUUUUACCUUUAUUUCUCGCACCUGAACUUUACAAACUUUUCUCCAACUUCGCUAAUUUAAAGUCAUUUUGAGGAUAAUUACCGGUAGUCUAGCUGAUAAUUACAACGAACAAAAUUGAUUUCUAAUUAAAAUAUAAAAAACAACAACUGAGGUAUUAAAAUUCCUUUUAAAGUUCGAAGCCGUUCCAUUCCAAUAUAUUUUGGUGUUUUACUGACAUAAAGGAAAUCCUGUAAUUUCUCUGAGACAGAUGUAGAUUCCUCGUGGAUAAAGAUACAAUCUGCUUUGAUAUAUUAGAAAGAAGCAAGAGAAAUGUUAUGUCAAACACUAACAAAUGACUAAACAUCGACUUUUUACAUUGAGACCUGUUUUUAUUCGUGAUUUCUUAUUUGUUUUCUCAAACGUUAAUACAUUUGUGUUGAGCUGAGGUUUGUUGAAUGUGUUACGUUGAUUUUGUUUUGCUGAGAAAGUGAAGGAGGUUUGCGUGACAUGCCUCUUCAGCAAGAUUAUCUGCUCUACUUCACUGCAUGUUCUGAUAUUACAUGUUUUCUCAGCGAAGAGAGAGAGAGAGAGAAGAAAUAAGACGGAUGAGUUCCAUUGUCCAAGUAAAGGUUUAUAUCUACAGUUUAUCGAUAUAGAAGUAACGAUUUAAAGAGUUCACUGUUGAAUGUCCUCAGUUUAAGCAUCCUCGAUAUUUUAUUUUGCUUCUCUUUUAUUUCAGAUCAUCAGAUGGCGUUCGCAUAAAACAAUUAUAUACUCGAG
RNAcentral lists this long non-coding RNA (1306 nucleotides) under Octopus vulgaris (common octopus). Lineage: Eukaryota; Metazoa; Mollusca; Cephalopoda; Octopoda; Octopodidae. The record is from RNAcentral.